CGUGUAGGCGGGAAAGUAAAGUCAGAAGUGAAAUCCCACGGCUUAACUGUGGAGCUGCUUCUGAAACUUCUUUUCUUGAGUGCUGGAGAGGAAAGUGGAAUUCCAAGUGUAGCGGUGAAAUGCGUAGAGAUUUGGAGGAACACCUAGUGGCGAAGGCGGCUUUCUGGACAGUAACUGACGCUGAGGCGCGAAAGCGUGGGGAGCAAACAGGACUUAGAUACCCUGGUAGUCCACGCUGUAAACGAUGGAUACUAGGUGUAGGAGGUAUCGACCCCUUCUGUGCCGGAGUUAACACAAUAAGUAUCCCACCUGGGGGAUACGGCCGCAAGGUUGAA
Molecule: ribosomal RNA, 335 nt
Filed under: uncultured bacterium
Lineage: Bacteria
Description: bacterial SSU rRNA
Rfam family: Bacterial small subunit ribosomal RNA
Source: RNAcentral